RNAcentral lists this ribosomal RNA (451 nucleotides) under uncultured bacterium. RNAcentral's name for it is "SSU rRNA". It matches the Rfam family "Bacterial small subunit ribosomal RNA", at positions 26 to 518 of the family's 1533-position model. The record is from RNAcentral.
AGAACGAACGCUGGCGGCAUGCCUAACACAUGCAAGUCGAACGCUCUUGGUUUCGGCCAAGGGAGUGGCGCACGGGUGAGUAACGCGUGGGAACCUGCCCUGGAGUGGGGGAUAACCGAGGGAAACCUCGGCUAAUACCGCAUACGACCUGAGGGUGAAAGAUUUAUCGCUCUAGGAGGGGCCCGCGUCGGAUUAGCUAGUUGGUGAGGUAACGGCCCACCAAGGCUAUGAUCCGUAGCUGGUCUGAGAGGAUGAUCAGCCACACUGGGACUGAGACACGGCCCAGACUCCUACGGGAGGCAGCAGUGGGAAUAUUGGACAAUGGGCGCAAGCCUGAUCCAGCAAUGCCGCGUGAGUGAUGAAGGCCUUAGGGUUGUAAAGCUCUUUCACACGCGACGAUGAUGACGGUAGCGUGAGAAGAAGCCCCGGCUAACUUCGCACCAGCAGCCGC